CUCUAACCUAUGGAGCGCCUACUACCUACUAUUUCUUCAUUUCGUCCUGCCCUGUAAUUGGAUUUCCUCCAGGAGGGGAACUCGCUGCUCACCAAGAUGGCCCUGCCCAUGCUCACUUUCAGUUUUAAGAGCUUCAUUCAGUUUUAAAAAGUUUCCUCAUCCUGAGCUGAAACUGCUUUCCUCUUAUUUCCAAACUGGAGGCCAAACGGUAAGAGGGCUUUAAGUUAUCGAUCUAGGUCAAGUGCCGCCCGUUAGGAAUGUGUGGUCCUCACCAGUUGUGCUGCCA
Molecule: long non-coding RNA, 286 nt
Filed under: Mustela putorius furo (domestic ferret)
Lineage: Eukaryota; Metazoa; Chordata; Mammalia; Carnivora; Mustelidae
Description: lncRNA (ENSMPUG00000031767.1)
Source: RNAcentral